GACGAACGCUGGCGGCGUGCUUAACACAUGCAAGUCGAGCGGAAAGGCCCUGCUUUUGUGGGGUGCUCGAGUGGCGAACGGGUGAGUAACAAGUGAGUAACCUGCCCUUGACUUUGGGAUAACUUCAGGAAACUGGGGCUAAUACCGGAUAGGAGCUCCUGCUGCAUGGUGGGGGUUGGAAAGUUUCGGCGGUUGGGGAUGGACUCGCGGCUUAUCAGCUUGUUGGUGGGGUAGUGGCUUACCAAGGCUUUGACGGGUAGCCGGCCUGAGAGGGUGACCGGCAACAUUGGGACUGAGAUACGGCCCAGACUCCUACGGGAGGCAGCAGUGGGGAAUAUUGCACAAUGGGCGGAAGCCUGAUGCAGCAACGCCGCGUGCGGGAUGACGGCCUUCGGGUUGUAAACCGCUUUCGCCUGUGACGAAGCGUGAGUGACGGUAAUGGGUAAAGAAGCACCGGCUAACUACGUG
RNAcentral lists this ribosomal RNA (468 nucleotides) under uncultured bacterium. Its description in RNAcentral is "partial 16S ribosomal RNA". It matches the Rfam family "Bacterial small subunit ribosomal RNA", at positions 28 to 507 of the family's 1533-position model. The record is from RNAcentral.